This 901-nucleotide long non-coding RNA is filed under the name Daucus carota (carrot). RNAcentral's name for it is "long non-coding RNA (DCAR_LNC007084)". Lineage: Eukaryota; Viridiplantae; Streptophyta; Magnoliopsida; Apiales; Apiaceae. The record is from RNAcentral.
UUCGAUUCGACAUUGUUUCAACAUGUGGGUUCUCUCUCAGGUAUCGAAUAAUAUCACUAGACAAUCUCUCCAUCAAAGGUCUUGUGCAAAGUGUGUGUCAUCUUGGAAUUUAGAGUACAAAUCGGUCGAUACAAGUUUCAAAAAGACAUUUAUUCGCAAAGGUUCGAUUCGACAUUGUUUCAACAUGUGGGUUCUCUCUCAGGUAUCGAAUAAUAUCACUAGACAAUCUCUCCAUCAAAGGUCUUGUGCAAAUGUGUGUGCCAUCUUGGAAUUAAGAGUACAAAUCGGUCGAUACAAGCUUCAAAAAGACAACCUUACUCAACUACGUUCAAAUUAUCUAAAAGACACUACAUAUAUAUACUUUUAUGAAAACAUGCUCUUCUUUUUUUUCUUUUUUUUCUUUUUUUUUGCAUUGACUUUAUUUUGUCCGUUUUCUUAGGCAAACAAUGUUACCCAUGUAGCGAGCUUUGGGUCAGUGACUCCCAAACCAAACGGUCUUAGGGCACUAGGUUUUGAAAUCCCCCUACGGACUUAAUUGCUCGAGUAACAAAGGCCACAAAACGAGACUAGCCAAUCUACUUUUGCCCAUUUAUCUAAAGAUUUUAUCUAUAAAGAACAAUGGGUAUUGAAGUAGUUAUUCCUUUUUUUUUCUAUCCUUUUUUUUUUCUCUUUUUUUUUUUUUUUUUUUAUUCGCAAAGGUUCGAUUCGACAUUGUUUCAACAUGUGGGUUCUCUCUCAGGUAUCGAAUAAUAUCACUAGACAAUCUCUCCAUCAAAGGUCUUGUGCAAAGUGUGUGUCAUCUUGGAAUUUAGAGUACAAAUCGGUCGAUACAAGUUUCAAAAAGACAACCUUACUCAACUACGUUCAAAUUAUCUAAAAGACACUACAUAUAUAUACUUUU